GCGGUGAUUACAGGAUGUUGAAUGCGAG
Molecule: small RNA, 28 nt
Filed under: Bombyx mori (domestic silkworm)
Lineage: Eukaryota; Metazoa; Arthropoda; Insecta; Lepidoptera; Bombycidae
Description: ovarian small RNA-16963
Source: RNAcentral